RNAcentral lists this long non-coding RNA (231 nucleotides) under Capsicum annuum. RNAcentral's name for it is "long non-coding RNA (CANN_LNC014100)". The record is from RNAcentral. Lineage: Eukaryota; Viridiplantae; Streptophyta; Magnoliopsida; Solanales; Solanaceae.
CACGAGCUCUAGAGCAACAUUAGCAUUCUAGUCUCAGCAAUCAGAGUUAGCUAUGAGUCCUCAUCCUUCAAGGACAUUACCAUUACUUUAUUAUCUCAUUAAUUAAUUUAUUUCAGUAGUUGAAGUUAGUUGGGGACAUGUCCCAUCUACUCCUUAUUCAGACAAUGUAGAGGCUUUUGGACUAGCAUGUACAGACAGUUAUUUAAGCUAUUUUGGGUAUUUCAUACCUCC